Molecule: ribosomal RNA, 253 nt
Filed under: uncultured prokaryote
Description: partial 16S ribosomal RNA
Rfam family: Bacterial small subunit ribosomal RNA
Source: RNAcentral
UACAGAGGGUGCAAGCGUUAAUCGGAAUUACUGGGCGUAAAGCGCGCGUAGGUGGUUUGUUAAGUUGGAUGUGAAAGCCCCGGGCUCAACCUGGGAACUGCAUUCAAAACUGACAAGCUAGAGUAUGGUAGAGGGUGGUGGAAUUUCCUGUGUAGCGGUGAAAUGCGUAGAUAUAGGAAGGAACACCGGUGGCGAAGGCGGCCCCCUGGGCUGGUACUGACGCUGAUGCGCGAAAGCGUGGGUAGCAAACGGG